UGGGGAAUUUUGGACAAUGGGGGCAACCCUGAUCCAGCCAUCCCGCGUGUGCGAUGAAGGCCUUCGGGUUGUAAAGCACUUUUGGCAGGGAAGAAACAGCCUGGGAUAAUACCCCGGGCGACUGACGGUACCUGCAGAAUAAGCACCGGCUAACUACGUGCCAGCAGCCGCGGUAAUACGUAGGGUGCAAGCGUUAAUCGGAAUUACUGGGCGUAAAGCGUGCGCAGGCGGUUCGGAAAGAAAGGUGUGAAAUCCCAGGGCUUAACCUUGGAACUGCACUUUUAACUACCGAGCUAGAGUACGUCAGAGGGGGGUAGAAUUCCACGUGUAGCAGUGAAAUGCGUAGAGAUGUGGAGGAAUACCGAUGGCGAAGGCAGCCCCCUGGGAUGAUACUGACGCUCAUGCACGAAAGCGUGGGGAGCAAACAGGAUUAGAUACCCUGGUAGUCCACGCCCUAAACGAUGUCAACUAGCUGUUGGGGUUUAUUAACCUUAGUAGCGCAGCUAACGCGUGAAGUUGACCGCCUGGGGGGUACGGUCGCAAGAUUAAAAC
RNAcentral lists this ribosomal RNA (552 nucleotides) under uncultured bacterium. RNAcentral describes it as "partial 16S ribosomal RNA". It matches the Rfam family "Bacterial small subunit ribosomal RNA", at positions 355 to 900 of the family's 1533-position model. The record is from RNAcentral.